Small nuclear RNA from Aotus nancymaae (Ma's night monkey), 108 nucleotides. The record is from Ensembl. Lineage: Eukaryota; Metazoa; Chordata; Mammalia; Primates; Aotidae.
UUGCUUGCUUUGGCAGCACAUAUACAAUAAUUGGAGCAAUACAGAGAAGAUUAGCAUGGCUCCUGCACACAGAUGAGAUCUUUCACUUCCCUGAUUAGCUGUAUUCCU